This 487-nucleotide small RNA is filed under the name Pan troglodytes (chimpanzee). RNAcentral describes it as "retained intron". Lineage: Eukaryota; Metazoa; Chordata; Mammalia; Primates; Hominidae. The record is from RNAcentral.
GCCGCUGAGCCUGGUCGUUUUACCCAUGUGCCUGCUUCACCAUUUUCUGCCUGCAUCUGCUUGAAUCUGGCUGUUGCCUUGGUGCCUUGACCUUACGUCCAUCAGUGGCCCGUGCUGUAGUGGUUGGAGGGGAGUGACAGGCAGCAGAGGGCAAAUAAAAUACCUGUGAAUCAAACCGUGGUUUAGGUACAACCCCACCUGAAAAUGGACUCUCAGAGCACCCCUGUGAAACAGAACAGAUAAAUGCAAAGAGAAAAGAUACAACCAGUGACAAAGAUGAUUCGCUAGGAAGCCAACAAACAAAUGAACAAUGUGCUCAAAAGGCUGAGCCAACAGAGUCCUGCGAACAAGUUGCUGUCCAAGUGAAUAAUGGGGAUGCUGAAAGGGAGAUGCCCUGCCCGUUGCCCUGUGAUGAAGAAAGCCCAGAGGCAGAGCUACACAACCAUGGAAUCCAAAUUAAUUCCUGUUCUGUGCGACUGGUGGAUAU